Molecule: non-coding RNA, 251 nt
Organism: Paramuricea clavata
Lineage: Eukaryota; Metazoa; Cnidaria; Anthozoa; Malacalcyonacea; Plexauridae
Source: the annotation of a GenBank genome assembly
CCAAGGUUAGAGUUGGUUGGUGCACACAUGGCCACCAACCUGGCAGUAAAUGUGCGUAACGCCCUUCCGAAGGUUCCAGUGCCAUCUAUUCACGCAUGGAUCGACAGCAUGGUUGCGCUACAUUGGAUAUGUGGAAAUGGAAUGUAUAAACAAUUCGUAGCCAAUCGUGUGGCCAAAAUACAAGCUCACCCGGAAGUCCAGUGGCGGUAUGUGCCCACAUACGAUAAUCCUGCUGACAUAGCAAGUCGUGG